GAGAACGGGUAUUAGUUUACUAAUACUGUCAGCUAAGUGGCGCACGGGUGAGUAAUAUAUAGUUAAUCUGCCCCAAAGAAGAGAAUAAUUGUUGGAAACGACUUGUAAUGCUCUAUAUGCCUUUAUCACAUAAGUGAGCAAGGGAAAUAUUUAUAGCUUUGGGAUGAGACUGUACGGUAUCAGAUAGUUGGUGAGGUAAUGGCUCACCAAGUCUAUGACGCCUAACUGGUUUGAGAGGAUGAUCAGUCACACUGGAACUGAGACACGGUCCAGACUCCUACGGGAGGCAGCAGUGGGGAAUAUUGCACAAUGGAGGAAACUCUGAUGCAGCAACGCCGCGUGGAGGAUGACACAUUUCGGUGCGUAAACUCCUUUUAUUAGGGAAGAUAAUGACGGUACCUAAUGAAUAAGCACCGGCUAACUCCGUGCCAGCAGCCGCGGUAAUGCGGGGGGUGCAAGCGUUACUCGGAAUCACUGGGCGUAAAGAGCAUGUAGGCUGGUUUGUAAGUUGGAAGUGAAAUCCUAUGGCUUAACCAUAGAACUGCUUCCAAAACUGCAGACCUAGAGUAUGGGAGAGGUAGAUGGAAUUUCUGGUGUAGGGGUAAAAUCCGUAGAGAUCAGAAGGAAUACCGAUUGCGAAGGCGAUCUACUGGAACAUUACUGACGCUGAGGUGCGAAAGCGUGGGGAGCAAACGGGAU
RNAcentral lists this ribosomal RNA (699 nucleotides) under uncultured Arcobacter sp. RNAcentral's name for it is "bacterial SSU rRNA". It matches the Rfam family "Bacterial small subunit ribosomal RNA", at positions 68 to 778 of the family's 1533-position model. Lineage: Bacteria; Pseudomonadati; Campylobacterota; Epsilonproteobacteria; Campylobacterales; Arcobacteraceae. The record is from RNAcentral.